UACGUAGGGUGCGAGCGUUAAUCGGAAUUACUGGGCGUAAAGCGUGCGCAGGCGGUUAUGUAAGACAGAUGUGAAAUCCCCGGGCUCAACCUGGGAACUGCAUUUGUGACUGCAUCGCUGGAGUGCGGCAGAGGGGGAUGGAAUUCCGCGUGUAGCAGUGAAAUGCGUAGAUAUGCGGAGGAACACCGAUGGCGAAGGCAAUCCCCUGGGCCUGCACUGACGCUCAUGCACGAAAGCGUGGGGAGCAAACAGG
RNAcentral lists this ribosomal RNA (253 nucleotides) under uncultured bacterium. RNAcentral describes it as "partial 16S ribosomal RNA". It matches the Rfam family "Bacterial small subunit ribosomal RNA", at positions 524 to 776 of the family's 1533-position model. The record is from RNAcentral.